RNAcentral lists this ribosomal RNA (324 nucleotides) under Schistosoma ovuncatum. RNAcentral describes it as "partial 12S ribosomal RNA". The record is from RNAcentral. Lineage: Eukaryota; Metazoa; Platyhelminthes; Trematoda; Strigeidida; Schistosomatidae.
GUUUGGCAGCAAACUAAAUUCUUCCGGGGGAAGGUGCAUAUUAAAGAGAUGGUCCGCUUAUUAUUUUACUAUGCUUAGUGUUAGUGUAUAUCCGUUUAUAUAUUUACGUUUUAUGAUUAGAGUGAGUAUAUUAUUAGAUAAUUUAAGACAGGUCUAUAUGCUGCUUAUAGCAUAGGUUAUUGUGCGUUACAUUUAAAAACUAAUUCUUAGAAAGUAGUAUUAGAUUUGGGACUCGGAAGUAGGAGUAAUAAUAGUAUGAUGCUUCGAAGGUUGAAAUAGUUUGGGUACACAUCGCCCGACAAUCUCGGUGUUUAACUGAGUUAA